Molecule: ribosomal RNA, 564 nt
Filed under: uncultured Glomeromycotina
Lineage: Eukaryota; Fungi; Glomeromycota
Description: SSU rRNA
Rfam family: Eukaryotic small subunit ribosomal RNA
Source: RNAcentral
UUGGAGGGCAAGUCUGGUGCCAGCAGCCGCGGUAAUUCCAGCUCCAAUAGCGUAUAUUAAAGUUGUUGCAGUUAAAAAGCUCGUAGUUGAAUUUCGGGAUCAGAUUGUCGGUCGUGCCUCGGUACGCACUGGUAUUAUUGGUUCCUACCUUCUGAAGAACCGCGAUGUCAUUAAUUUGGUGUCGUGGGGAAUCAGGACUGUUACUUUGAAAAAAUUAGAGUGUUUAAAGCAGGCUUACGCUUGAAUACAUUAGCAUGGAAUAAUGAAAUAGGACGUUUGAUUCUAUUUUGUUGGUUUCUAGGAUUGACGUAAUGGUUAAUAGGGAUAGUUGGGGGCAUUAGUAUUCAAUUGUCAGAGGUGAAAUUCUUGGAUUUAUUGAAGACUAACUACUGCGAAAGCAUUUGCCAAGGAUGUUUUCAUUAAUCAAGAACGAAAGUUAGGGGAUCGAAGACGAUCAGAUACCGUCGUAGUCUUAACCAUAAACUAUGCCGACUAGGGAUCGGAUGAUGUUAAUUUUUUAAUGACUCAUUCGGCGCCUUACGGGAAACCAAAGUGUUUGGGUUC